This 71-nucleotide transfer RNA is filed under the name Loxodonta africana (African savanna elephant). It matches the Rfam family "tRNA". Rfam says of the family: Transfer RNA (tRNA) molecules are approximately 80 nucleotides in length. Their secondary structure includes four short double-helical elements and three loops (D, anti-codon, and T loops). The record is from Rfam by way of RNAcentral. Lineage: Eukaryota; Metazoa; Chordata; Mammalia; Proboscidea; Elephantidae.
ACAUUGGUGGUUCAUUGGUAGAAUUCUUGCCUUGCAUGUGGGAAACCUAGGUCUGAUCCCCAGCCAAUGCA